GAUCGACAAUCUAAUAGGUGGCACAUUUUGGGUCCCUCGCCAUGAUGUGGACACGACGGUCCUACCGAAGCAAGGACGAGCCACGGGAUAACAUAGCCGGUGGCUCUCGUCAUGCACACCGGUUGGUCCUGCUCCGGCGAGCCGCCGCCACCGUGCCUGUUUCGAUCUCACUAUUUAGUUUAUAGGUGACCCGUGCCUCCUUUUAUCUCCCUUGCAUUAUUGAUGUGGGUAACUUCCACUCUAGUCCUAACCUUCUCUUUUGGUUUUCCCGUAGGUUCGUUGUCGGGCAGUGUAGAACUGAAAUAGUUGAAGAGAACAUCACGAGGCGAUGCUAGAAGCUUGCUUGUGUGCUAGCCGUUGUUGUGAUUUGAAGCAAUUUACAAGUUCGCUGAAUGGAAAAAAAGAGGGACUAUGGUGAGAGAUGACUAAAUCUACAGUUUUGAAUCCCUUUACCAUUAGUAGUUUAAAUAGCAAUCAAAAUUUCUUUUCAUGAGAUGGUGAUUAAUCAGUCUAAAGUUGUUCUACAUAUUAGUAAAAUGUUGUAUUUGAACUAGAAAGUUCAAUUUCUUUGCUAAACCAUGGACCGGUCAAUGUUGAAUUAGCUGAGAAUGUUUUUGAAGUUCGCUGAAUCACUUGUGUGAAUCUUUAUACCAACUAUGAGUGUUUCAUAAUCGUGGGAAUUUCUUUACCAUCUUUCAAGUACAUCGAAAUCUCCUAGGAUGGCAAACAAGAAGUCGACCAAAAUAUCCGGCAACGGUGGUGAGCGUAGCGGUGACAUGUGGUUUCCAUGCCUAUUUGUCGGCUCUACAAAUGCACAUUUGAUUUCUCCGUAUUCAUUUGUUGAUGUCUACUUUCAUGAGCAGUUGAGAACUACUUGAGGCAGAGUAUUUACAUCCUAAAUUUCAUCCUUCACUCCUUGUAGGUGUACUUACCCUUCUCUUGCUGUUGUUGCAUCUAGAUAUACAAUCUAUGCUUGCUUUGUGGAAGUGGAGAUGGAAAGGAAGUUGUCAUUAGUCAAGUCAUGUGAGCGGGGAAGGGGCCAAAAAAGCGAAGCUAAAAACAGGUAAUAGGCCCAUCAGAAUAUUGUAAGGAUGAGACUUUUCAUCACUGCAUAUCACGUGACAAUUGAAUAGUAUAAUCACAUGAACUAUGUACUCGUUAUGAUCUCAUAUACAGAUUUCUGGGACAUUUUUUGUUCCUUUUCUUUCUUCACAGGCCAUCUUUAGUGCUUUUCCAGUUAAUGGUAUCUUUGGGCCAAAAUAUAAUAGUUGCUAAUGCCUUUGGAUCGUUUACUUUGUUGGUUUUAUGAUUCUUGGAGGAUUCAUCAUAACUAAAGGUUGAUUUAUCAGAAAUAUUUUCAGCUACUUGAGGUUACAUUUUGAACCGAUACAUCUAACAUAUUGCAACCUUUUUCUGACUAUUUAAAAAAAGCUCAGUCUGUUGGAUUUGGUGUUAUUGGAUCUCUCCUAUUAUAUAUGCACAAAAUGCUAUAUCAGUAUAUGAAUACCAUGGGCAUUCUUGUUGCAAGGUGAACUUGAUUUUAAUACUUCCCCGAGGAAGUUGUGCAGUUUUCAUUUUGUGUCAACCAAUGCUGCUUUCGUCUUAAUCAUAAACAUGCGAUCCUAAUUUUUCUUGCAUAUUUUACUUGGUGGCUAACUCAAACUUAUUUGCUGUAAUUUUUGUAUUCAUCAUCACGAACAAGACCAGAUCAGUGGAGUAGUCUCCGUCGAAACAUAUAACAAAUAAUAAGCCCUAUCACUACCUCUGGAGAACUAACAAGAGUUAAAUGAUGUAGAAUAUGAAUGAUGAACUUGUAAUGGGUGUGGAGGGCAGUCUGCAAGGUGUUUUAGUAACCCUUUCUUGGUGUGAACAAUAUGGUCUGGUAUUGUUGUUAGUUUUCAAUCAAUCCAGGAUUUGACCUUGUUUGCAAAUUCAAGUGUUUUAUUAGAAGGAUGACGCAAAUCCCACACAAGGAACAUGUUAAUAUGCAUACUAUUGUUCUUCCUGAGUCAUUUGUGCAACAUAUAUUUUUCACCAUAGUGAUUGAAAAUUGACUCGUGUGUAGGUCGAUUUUGGUGUGUUCUAACUUCUACAACUAUCAAAGGGCUGCUCGUUCUGAAAAUUAUUCACAAACAUGCAGGCUGUGACCAACUUUUCAGAUAUCUCUAUUUUUCGGUGGUUUAUGCUGAUUCACAAAGGUGCAACGAAACUAUCUAAAAUCAUUUAAUUGUGGCUUCCCACUGACUACUUUGAAGAGCGGGGCAUCCUGAUGUUUUACUUUGACGUGCACAGUAUCCUAUGUUUUU
Molecule: long non-coding RNA, 2306 nt
Filed under: Hordeum vulgare
Lineage: Eukaryota; Viridiplantae; Streptophyta; Magnoliopsida; Poales; Poaceae
Description: long non-coding RNA (HVUL_LNC005252)
Source: RNAcentral